This 397-nucleotide long non-coding RNA is filed under the name Mytilus galloprovincialis (Mediterranean mussel). Lineage: Eukaryota; Metazoa; Mollusca; Bivalvia; Mytilida; Mytilidae. The record is from RNAcentral.
CGUUAUACGCCAAAGAAUUAGUACUUUGUGCGCAGCCUCCAUUCAAACGGAUAACCGCAUCUUAACGUCUUCUGAUUCCUGCCAUAAGUCGACUAAUUUGUUGUUAAGCUAGCAGCAACCAUUCUUGACGAAGGGUAUUGUUUAUUUCAUGACUUGUUUGAACUGGGGUGUCCUUUCAUGCACUUUACGCCCAAUAGUGUCCCAUAUAUGCUCGAUAUGGUUCAAAUUCGGGCUACGAUUGGGCCAAGGAAGAUAAACCGAAUUCCAUUGGAACAAUAGAUCUUCCUCCACGACGCUAAUUUCCAACUUUGGCGAGCUCUGCACUAUAUUGGAUACGGGCGUCUGUGUGUCUGUUCGUAGGCAAAGGUCCCCGAAAUGGUAUUAUCGCACGAUAACC